RNAcentral lists this ribosomal RNA (442 nucleotides) under uncultured bacterium. RNAcentral describes it as "partial 16S ribosomal RNA". It matches the Rfam family "Bacterial small subunit ribosomal RNA", at positions 338 to 795 of the family's 1533-position model. The record is from RNAcentral.
CCUACGGGAGGCAGCAGUAGGGAAUCUUCCACAAUGGGCGCAAGCCUGAUGCAGCGACGCCGCGUGAGCGAGGAAGUAUUUCGGUAUGUAAAGCCCUAUCAGCAGGGACGAAGAAAUGACGUUACCUGCGUAAGAAGCACCGGCUAAAUACGUGCCAGCAGCCGCGGUAAUACGUAUGGUGCAAGCGUUAUCCGGAUUUACUGGGGGUAAAGGGAGCGCAGGCGGCAAGGCAAGCCUGAUGUGAAAGCCAGGGGCACAACCGCGGGACUGCAUUGGGAACUACCGGGCUGGAGUGCAGGAGAGGUAAGCGGAAUUCCUAGUGUAGCGGUGAAAUGCGUAGAUAUUAGGAGGAACACCAGUGGCGAAGGCGGCUUACUGGACGGUGACUGACGCUGAGGCUCGAAAGCGUGGGGAGCAAACAGGAUUAGAUACCCGAGUAGUC